AACGGCCGUACCAUGCUGAAUAUACCGGUUCUCGUUCGAUCACCGAAGUUAAGCAUCAUUGGGCGCGGUCAGUACUUGGGUGGGUGACCACCUGGGAACACUGCGUGCCGUU
This 112-nucleotide ribosomal RNA is filed under the name Caerostris darwini. The record is from RNAcentral. Lineage: Eukaryota; Metazoa; Arthropoda; Arachnida; Araneae; Araneidae.